This 496-nucleotide ribosomal RNA is filed under the name uncultured bacterium. RNAcentral's name for it is "partial 16S ribosomal RNA". It matches the Rfam family "Bacterial small subunit ribosomal RNA", at positions 28 to 507 of the family's 1533-position model. The record is from RNAcentral.
GACGAACGCUGGCGGCGUGCCUAAUACAUGCAAGUAGAACGCUGAAGAGAGGAGCUUGCUCUUCUUGGAUGAGUUGCGAACGGGUGAGUAACGCGUAGGUAACCUGCCUUGUAGCGGGGGAUAACUAUUGGAAACGAUAGCUAAUACCGCAUAACAAUGGCUGCCACAUGUCAUUUAUUUGAAAGGGGCAAUUGCUCCACUACAAGAUGGACCUGCGUUGUAUUAGCUAGUAGGUGAGGUAAUGGCUCACCUAGGCGACGAUACAUAGACGGCCUGAGGGGGGGAUCGGCCGAGCGGGAACGGAGACGAGGGCGAGGAGCCUACGGGAGGCAGAAGGAGGGAAUAGGGAGCAAUGGGCGAAGGCGUGACGGAGCAAGGCAGGGGGAGGGAUGAAGGUCGUCGGAUCGGAAAACUCGGUGAUUAGGGAAGAAGAGAUGUGGAAGGAACUGUGCACAGCGUGACGGUACAUAAUCAGAAAGCCACGGCUAACUACGUG